This 75-nucleotide small RNA is filed under the name Prolemur simus (greater bamboo lemur). RNAcentral's name for it is "Y RNA (ENSPSMG00000020708.1)". It matches the Rfam family "Y RNA", at positions 14 to 82 of the family's 96-position model. From Rfam's summary of the family: Y RNAs are components of the Ro ribonucleoprotein particle (Ro RNP), in association with Ro60 and La proteins. The Y RNAs and Ro60 and La proteins are well conserved, but the function of the Ro RNP is not known. The record is from RNAcentral. Lineage: Eukaryota; Metazoa; Chordata; Mammalia; Primates; Lemuridae.
GCAGUGGUGUUUACAACUAAUUGAUCACAACCAGUUACAGAUUCCUUUGUUCCUUCUCCACUCCCACUGCUUCAC